GUGGGGAAUCUUAGACAAUGGGCGCAAGCCUGAUCUAGCCAUGCCGCGUGAGCGAUGAAGGCCUUAGGGUUGUAAAGCUCUUUCAGGGGGGAAGAUAAUGACGGUACCCCCAGAAGAAGCCCCGGCUAACUCCGUGCCAGCAGCCGCGGUAAUACGGAGGGGGCUAGCGUUGUUCGGAAUUACUGGGCGUAAAGCGCACGUAGGCGGACCAGAAAGUCAGGGGUGAAAUCCGGGGGCUCAACCCCGGAACUGCCUUUGAAACUCCUGGUCUUGAGGUCGAGAGAGGUGAGUGGAAUUCCGAGUGUAGAGGUGAAAUUCGUAGAUAUUCGGAGGAACACCAGUGGCGAAGGCGGCUCACUGGCUCGAUACUGACGCUGAGGUGCGAAAGCGUGGGGAGCAAACAGGAUUAGAAACCCCGGUAGUCC
RNAcentral lists this ribosomal RNA (425 nucleotides) under uncultured bacterium. RNAcentral's name for it is "bacterial SSU rRNA". It matches the Rfam family "Bacterial small subunit ribosomal RNA", at positions 354 to 796 of the family's 1533-position model. The record is from RNAcentral.